CAACUCGGGCCUGCCAGCGAUGAAAAUUAAUGGGAAGGUAAGAAGCUGCUUUUGAUGCUGGAAGAACUCCAGUAAAAACUGGUCUGUACAUGGGAACACGGUGUCAGACUCACAGAGAAUCAGCUUGUCUGACUUGUGGUUUUCUUGACAACAUUCAUCUUCUCUUGGCCUGAUACAGGGCAAUUAGUGCUUGUCAGCUGAAUCAUGUGUUAUUAAGAUCAUUCAGGCAUUUUUUAAUUACGGUGAGC
RNAcentral lists this long non-coding RNA (248 nucleotides) under Homo sapiens (human). Its description in RNAcentral is "HSALNT0126597". The record is from RNAcentral. Lineage: Eukaryota; Metazoa; Chordata; Mammalia; Primates; Hominidae.